This 1388-nucleotide long non-coding RNA is filed under the name Sorghum bicolor (sorghum). Its description in RNAcentral is "long non-coding RNA (SBIC_LNC000554)". Lineage: Eukaryota; Viridiplantae; Streptophyta; Magnoliopsida; Poales; Poaceae. The record is from RNAcentral.
GCUAUGCUAAUCUGUAUCUAAAUAAAACUUAAGCAUGGAUAUGAUGAAUAGUUGCUCUGCAUAAUUUGAACAUUUUAAGUUCUCUCUCAAGUUUAGAUAUAACUGUUAUAAUUUAAAGCUUGCUCUAGACCUAAACUUGUGGGAUGAAAACUUGAUCUGAAGUCUAAGUUGUUAACGGAUACGAUAUGGGAAGGUUGAGCUGCUAUUUAUCUGUUCCUAGAGAUGCUAGAAUUCUGGAGAAUUUUAUCUUUGAAAAUCUUUAAAAUGUUGCAUGAUGAGUUCCUGUAUGAUGAGAGUUUAAAUUCCUACCACAGCCAUAUAUACAUGCUUGCUAGACUUUGAGCCACACAUUUACUAUUUACUGCUUAUGAGCAUUGAGUGUGGUCAAGCUGUGUAGACCCUUAGGAGCUUGUCAUGUGGUUAAAUCAAGAUUUCACUUGCACGUUCACUCAUAUAUGCUACUUCUACUCCGGAAGUACCAUCCACAUAUAUCCAUCCAUUUCCAUCUCCAGAACCACCUAAAAAUAUUCUACUCCUAAUCCGGGAGAGAAUAGCCAAAAAUAUUUUUUUCCCUUGUGAAAUAAAUGCUCAAGUUAUCUUGUUACUAUCACUUGCUAUAUUAUCUCAUGAGAUGAGUGCUCUAAAAAAAGAAAAAAACGAGGAAAUAAAAAGGAGCAAGUGCUCGGAACCUCGAAAGAAAAGAAAAAGUGAGACGAGAGGUAAAAAUGGACAAGUGUCCGACAGUAGAAUUAGGGGUACAAGAUACUCACCUGAGAGAAAAGAAAAAGAAGAGCAUCUCAUUCUCCUCAUAAAAUUUCAAAAAGCAAGGAAGGUAUGUAUCCCCUCAAAGAGCAAAGUAGAAUUAGACUUUCACCAUUGUUACCACCGUCAUCACCAUACACCAUUCAUUCGCCACACAUGCACAUCUUGAUUAAACUUAUUGGCUUGUUUCUUUAGAUCCAUGGUUUGACUAUGCAAUAAAUGUCUUGUAAGUAUGUAUAUUUUAUCUCCCACCUAUGAGCUCCAGAUAUUAAAGCCUUAUUAGAGUAGGGUGAGAGAGAAGGCAAUGUCACUAUGCUUUGUACCACAAAUACUACAUAUAUUGAGAGAAGGCAUAUACCAUUACUGCCUUAGUAAGGAUCCAGAAAUACCACAAAAGAGAGAUCUGAGAGAAUCAUACAAGGAAUCUCUGAGUUUUAUUUGAAAAUCUGCAAAAACCCCAGAGCUAUAGCUGAUCAAGAAUAAGAGACAUGGCACUUCGCUAGACUGUUCUAUCUUUUAACUACUCAAGACAGAAGUGACGGUUACAAGUCCCAUGGUGGAAGGUAAAGUAAUUAAGUUUUAAGUCUUGACAGUUUACUCUAACUCAAAGAUGAGAUCUUAUUUAA